This 307-nucleotide unclassified non-coding RNA is filed under the name fungal sp. RNAcentral's name for it is "partial internal transcribed spacer region". The stretch from base 1 to 46 matches the Rfam family "Eukaryotic small subunit ribosomal RNA", at positions 1786 to 1831 of the family's 1831-position model. The record is from RNAcentral. Lineage: Eukaryota; Fungi.
AAGUCGUAACAAGGUUUCCGUAGGUGAACCUGCGGAAGGAUCAUUAACACGAAUUUUAUCCAAUAUCAAACUAAACGCGAACUUUUCCCCUCCCUAUCUCAAACUUAUGUUUGAUUUAGGCUAACCUUUUUAAACAAACAUUUUUAACCACUUUUAAUUUGCUAAGUCAUUGGUUAACGCCUUGACUAACUAACUAAAAAUAUUCAACUUAAGAUGACAUUCGUUGUCUCUUAAAUUAAUAUUUUUUCUUUACGAAAUAAAUAUUAGUAUAUAAGAACAACUCUUAGCAAUGGAUAUCUUGGUUCUC